RNAcentral lists this ribosomal RNA (557 nucleotides) under Enterobacter hormaechei. RNAcentral describes it as "partial 23S ribosomal RNA". It matches the Rfam family "Bacterial large subunit ribosomal RNA", at positions 1 to 591 of the family's 2925-position model. Lineage: Bacteria; Pseudomonadati; Pseudomonadota; Gammaproteobacteria; Enterobacterales; Enterobacteriaceae. The record is from RNAcentral.
GGGUUGUGAGGUUAAGCGACUAAGCGUACACGGUGGAUGCCCUGGCAGUCAGAGGCGAUGAAGGACGUGCUAAUCUGCGAAAAGCGCCGGCGAGGUGAUAUGAACCCUUGACCCGGCGAUGUCCGAAUGGGGAAACCCAGUGUGUUCCGACACACUAUCGUUAACUGAAUACAUAGGUUAACGAGGCGAACCGGGGGAACUGAAACAUCUAAGUACCCCGAGGAAAAGAAAUCAACCGAGAUUCCCCCAGUAGCGGCGAGCGAACGGGGAGCAGCCCGGAGUCUGAAUCAGCUUGUGUGUUAGUGGAACGGUCUGGAAAGUCCGACGGUACAGGGUGAUAGUCCCGUACACGAAAAUGCACAGGUUGUGAACUCGAAGAGUAGGGCGGGACACGUGGUAUCCUGUCUGAAUAUGGGGGGACCAUCCUCCAAGGCUAAAUACUCCUGACUGACCGAUAGUGAACCAGUACCGUGAGGGAAAGGCGAAAAGAACCCCGGCGAGGGGAGUGAAAAAGAACCUGAAACCGUGUACGUACAAGCAGUGGGAGCACCUUCGGG